Molecule: ribosomal RNA, 797 nt
Filed under: bacterium enrichment culture
Lineage: Bacteria
Description: bacterial SSU rRNA
Rfam family: Bacterial small subunit ribosomal RNA
Source: RNAcentral
GCAAGUCGAGCGGUAAGGCCCUUCGGGGUACACGAGCGGCGGACGGCUGAGUAACACGUAGGAACGUACCCCAAAGUGAGGGAUAAGCACCAGAAAUGGUGUCUAAUACCGCAUGUGCUCUAAGGAGUAAAGCUCCGGCGCUUUGGGAACGGCCUGCGCAUGAUUAGCUAGAUGGUGAGGUAAUGGCUCACCAUGGCGACGAUCAUUAGCUGGUCUGAGAGGAUGAUCAGCCAGACUGGGACUGAGACACGGCCCAGACUCCUACGGGAGGCAGCAGUAGGGAAUUUUCCACAAUGGGCGAAAGCCUGAUGGAGCAACGCCGCGUGCAGGAUGAAUGCCUUCGGGUUGUAAACUGCUUUUAUAUGUGACGAAUAUGACGGUAGCAUAUGAAUAAGGAUCGGCUAACUCCGUGCCAGCAGCCGCGGUCAUACGGAGGAUCCAAGCGUUAUCCGGAAUUACUGUUUCGUAAAGAGUUGCGUAGGCGGCAUAGUAAGCAGAUAGUGAAAGCGUGUGGCUCAACCAUACUCACAUUAUCUGAACUGCUAAGCUAGAGGACGAGAGAGGUCACUGGAAUUCCUAGUGUAGGAGUGAAAUCCGUAGAUAUUAGGAGGAACACCAAUGGCGUAGGCAGGUGACUGGCUCGUUCCUGACGCUCAGGCACGAAAGCGUGGGGAGCAAACGGGAUUAGAUACCCCGGUAGUCCACGCCGUAAACGAUGGAUGCUAGCUGUUAGAGGUAUCGACCCCUCUAGUAGCGAAGCUAACGCGUUAAGCAUCCCGCCUGUGGAGUACGGUCGC